Molecule: unclassified non-coding RNA, 265 nt
Filed under: Archaeorhizomyces sp.
Lineage: Eukaryota; Fungi; Ascomycota; Archaeorhizomycetes; Archaeorhizomycetales; Archaeorhizomycetaceae
Description: partial contains 5.8S ribosomal RNA, internal transcribed spacer 2, and large subunit ribosomal RNA
Rfam family: 5.8S ribosomal RNA (bases 1-69)
Source: RNAcentral
GUGAAUCAUCGAAUCUUUGAACGCACAUUGCGCCUCCCUUAACCGGGGGGCAUGCCUGUCUGAGCGUCAUUUAAACCUAUGGGCCCGAAUGGGUUCCGUGUUGGGCCUCGCCCCUCUUUGAGAGGCGUCGCCUUAAAGGCAUCGGCUUUAUGGAGCGGACGGGAUCCUUUUGGACUGACCGUUUCAUGGCUGGAAUUUGACUCUGACUUGACCUCAGAUCAGGUAGGGACACCGCCUGAACUUAAGCAUAUCAAUAAGCGGAGGA